GUAGGUGGCAAGCGUUGUCCGGAAUUAUUGGGCGUAAAGCGCGCGCAGGCGGUUCUUUAAGUCUGAUGUGAAAGCCCACGGCUCAACCGUGGAGGGUCAUUGGAAACUGGAGAACUUGAGUACAGAAGAGGAAAGCGGAAUUCCACGUGUAGCGGUGAAAUGCGUAGAGAUGUGGAGGAACACCAGUGGCGAAGGCGGCUUUCUGGUCUGUAACUGACGCUGAGGCGCGAAAGCGUGGGGAGCAACAGGGAUUAGAUACCCUGGUAGUCCACGCCGUAAACGAUGAGUGCUAAGUGUUAGGGGGUUUCCGCCCCCUUAGUGCUGCAGCUAACGCAUUAAGCACUCCGCCUGGGGAGUACGGCCGCAAGGCUG
RNAcentral lists this ribosomal RNA (372 nucleotides) under uncultured organism. RNAcentral describes it as "partial 16S ribosomal RNA". It matches the Rfam family "Bacterial small subunit ribosomal RNA", at positions 527 to 896 of the family's 1533-position model. The record is from RNAcentral.